Molecule: small RNA, 75 nt
Filed under: Xanthomonas arboricola pv. populi
Lineage: Bacteria; Pseudomonadati; Pseudomonadota; Gammaproteobacteria; Lysobacterales; Lysobacteraceae
Description: sX9 sRNA
Rfam family: Xanthomonas sRNA sX9
Source: RNAcentral
AUGUACCACGCGUACGCUCCGGUCCUGAGCGCGGCGCCCGCACUCACCUGACACCGCCCGCUAGUUUUAUUAGCC